UUCAACCUUAAAGAAAAUGAUGACCAUUUGUUAUCAAAAUCAUAUUUUGUAUGAAUAAAAGAAUACAUCAAAAGUAAAAUGGUACCUAAGAGAUACCUUGUAAACUCGAUUUCUCUCGGUCAAAGUGUCAAACAGAGAGUACAUGGCGUUCAACAUGGACACAACUUCCAUCGGCGAGAUUCUACUGCAGAUUUCGACAAUGCACCAUCUCAAACAAUGUAACGACAAAGAUAUUUUUACGAACGUUCCAUCUCGGCAACAGCGAUAAAUAAUCUAAACAAAUUAAAAAAGAUCAAAGUUUGAA
Molecule: long non-coding RNA, 304 nt
Organism: Pogonomyrmex barbatus (red harvester ant)
Lineage: Eukaryota; Metazoa; Arthropoda; Insecta; Hymenoptera; Formicidae
Source: RefSeq, a predicted model, not a curated record